UACGUAGGGGGCAAGCGUUGUCCGGAAUCAUUGGGCGUAAAGAGCGUGUAGGCGGCUUGGUAAGUCCGCUGUGAAAGUCCAGGGCUCAACCCUGGAAAGCCGGUGGAAACUGUCAAGCUCGAGUCCGGAAGAGGCGAGUGGAAUUCCUGGUGUAGCGGUGAAAUGCGCAGAUAUCAGGAGGAACACCAAUGGCGAAGGCAGCUCGCUGGGACGGUACUGACGCUAAGGCGCGAAAGCGUGGGGAGCGAACAGG
Molecule: ribosomal RNA, 253 nt
Filed under: uncultured bacterium
Lineage: Bacteria
Description: partial 16S ribosomal RNA
Rfam family: Bacterial small subunit ribosomal RNA
Source: RNAcentral